RNAcentral lists this ribosomal RNA (492 nucleotides) under uncultured bacterium. RNAcentral's name for it is "partial 16S ribosomal RNA". It matches the Rfam family "Bacterial small subunit ribosomal RNA", at positions 29 to 507 of the family's 1533-position model. The record is from RNAcentral.
AGUGAACGCUGGCGGUAGGCCUAACACAUGCAAGUCGAACGGCAGCACAGUAAGAGCUUGCUCUUACGGGUGGCGAGUGGCGGACGGGUGAGGAAUACAUCGGAAUCUACUUUUUCGUGGGGGAUAACGUAGGGAAACUUACGCUAAUACCGCAUACGACCUACGGGUGAAAGCAGGGGAUCUUCGGACCUUGCGCGAUUGAAUGAGCCGAUGUCGGAUUAGCUAGUUGGCGGGGUAAAGGCCCACCAAGGCGACGAUCCGUAGCUGGUCUGAGAGGAUGAUCAGCCACACUGGACCUGAGCCACGGUCCACACUCCUCCGGGAGGCAGCAGUGGGGAAUAUUGGACAAUGGGCGCAAGCCUGAUCCAGCCAUACCGCGUGGGUGAAGAAGGCCUUCGGGUUGUAAAGCCCUUUUGUUGGGAAAGAAAAGCAGCAGGUUAAUACCCCGCUGUUCUGACGGUACCCAAAGAAUAAGCACCGGCUAACUUCGUG